RNAcentral lists this ribosomal RNA (242 nucleotides) under uncultured bacterium. Its description in RNAcentral is "partial 16S ribosomal RNA". It matches the Rfam family "Bacterial small subunit ribosomal RNA", at positions 102 to 334 of the family's 1533-position model. The record is from RNAcentral.
GACGGGUGAGUAACACGUGGGUAACCUGCCUAUCAGAGGGGGAUAACACUUGGAAACAGGUGCUAAUACCGCAUAGAUUUUUGUUUUCGCAUGAAACGAAGAGGAAAGACGCUUUCGGGUGUCACUGAUAGAUGGACCCCGCGGUGCAUUAGCUAGAUGGUGAGGUAACGGCUCACCAUGGCCAUGAUGCAUAGCCGACCUGAGAGGGUGAUCGGCCACACUGGGACUGAGACACGGCCCAG